AACGAACGCUGGCGGCAUGCCUAACACAUGCAAGUCGAACGAGACCUUCGGGUCUAGUGGCGCACGGGUGCGUAACGCGUGGGAACCUGCCCUUAGGUUCGGAAUAACUCCCCGAAAGGGGUGCUAAUACCGGAUAAUGUCUUCGGACCAAAGAUUUAUCGCCUUUGGAUGGGCCCGCGUUGGAUUAGCUAGUUGGUAGGGUAAAAGCCUACCAAGGCGACGAUCCAUAGCUGGUCUGAGAGGAUGAUCAGCCACACUGGGACUGAGACACGGCCCAGACUCGUACGGGAGGGAGCAGUGGGGAAUAUUGGACAAUGGGGGAAAGCCUGAUCCAGCAAUGCCGGGUGAGUGAUGAAGGCCUUAGGGUUGUAAAGCUCUUUUACCCGGGAUGAUAAUGACAGUACCGGGAGAAUAAGCUCCGGCUAACUCCGUG
Molecule: ribosomal RNA, 433 nt
Filed under: uncultured bacterium
Lineage: Bacteria
Description: partial 16S ribosomal RNA
Rfam family: Bacterial small subunit ribosomal RNA
Source: RNAcentral